AGGCUCUCUCUUCAGGGAUGACAUCAUCGGCUCACACCAGUUUUCCAGGACCACCUUCUGGAUGCCAAGGCUGCUGCUCGAGUACCUGCUGUGCACCUCUACCUCCUGGUACCCCAGCCACUCCCUCGAGUUGCCUGCGUGUUACAUGGCCUAGCCAAGGAGCAUGGAUUCCAGGAACGCACUACCAUACAGAGCAACUCCUUGUGGACCCCUCUGGGAUCAGGACAGCGAGGGACAAGCGACAAAGAGGACCAUCAGUGGCCAGCUAGUCUCUCUGGGGUUCAAACCUUGAACCAGUGCCCUAGUGAGGGGGCACUGGCCAUGGCCCUUGACCUUUGCUCUGCUUGUGUCUUGAGUCUGAGUCCUUUCCUGUACAUCUGUGCUUGUGUUCAUCUGCUAGUGAACUGGAGUGCUGCCCUCCCCGAGGGGGGUCGUCCCUUGUGACUGACCAUGCUGUCCUAACAAUGUCCUGAGCAAAAGGGUCCCUUUGGGAACCUCUCAGGAGGGGGACCCGGGUCAGGGGCGACCAGCAUCUUGCUGGCAACUCCGUGGGUGGGGUGGGGUGCUUCCUUCUGGAAUGAGCACGUGGCUGACCCCCAAAGGCAUGUCCCCUCCCCCUCCUCCACCCACCUUCUCGGAGAUGUCCCUUUUGGGGUAGUGGGGACAUUAGGAGCAACCUCCUAGGGUUGUUGUGAGAAUUAAAUGAACUGCAGCAGCCUGAGGCAGGGCUGGGCAGAGACCUCA
This 744-nucleotide long non-coding RNA is filed under the name Mus caroli (Ryukyu mouse). RNAcentral's name for it is "predicted gene, 27000 (MGP_CAROLIEiJ_G0004913.1)". The stretch from base 465 to 566 matches the Rfam family "Maternally expressed 3 conserved region 2". Lineage: Eukaryota; Metazoa; Chordata; Mammalia; Rodentia; Muridae. The record is from RNAcentral.